UUUAUUAAAAGAAGAAAAAUGAAAUAGAAGGUCUCAUUUCAUGAAGCUCCAGCUGGCUCCUCUCUUCAUCUCUUUCAUCAAUUUUAGUUGAACUCACUUGAAGUGUAGUAGAAAGAGGAUUUGGACUAUUGAAGGGAUGAUGGGAAAUUCUUAGAGGUAGAUUAUAGUUUCUGUCGAAGUUGAAUGUUGAAUUAUUUUAGCAUUCUGCCUUAUUCACAACAUGAUUAGAAGAGAAAUGCAUGUCGAUCCUCUAGAAUAAGCAAUAGGGGAAAGUGACGAUGACAAUUAUGAUGAAGAUGAAAGUGUAGGCCAUGAUCAUUAUACACAUGUUGAAAUAUCUAACGCUUGGACUUCUUGGAGAAACAACUUAGCUAGAGAGAUGUUUGACCAAUGGCGAGGGAGGAGGCAUACAUAAAUUGUAUAUUUUUUUUUACAUUAUUUGUGUUUGAUUUUGUUUGAAACAAUUUUAUCAUUAUGUGUUGGAUGUCUCAAAAUCAUAUGUAUUUUAUUUGAUUUGGUUUGUAAAUGUUUGGAAUUUGUAUGGAAUUUUAUAAUGUUGACAAUUUUUGCUAUCAAUUUUAUAUCUAACGCAAUGUAUCAAUUUUAUAUCAAUGUUCUUAGUUAAAUUUUAUAUCUAAAGCAAUGUAUCAUAUUAUUUUUAUGUUCUUAGUUAAAUUUUAUAUGUUAAUAUAUUUAUUGCUAUACUUUUGUUGUAAGUAGAUGUGAGAUAUAAAUGGACGCCCUGAAGCAAUCAACAUCAAUUCUAGGAAAAAAGCAUCAGUGGACUUCAAUUGAGGAUUCAAAAUUGUAUGAGUGUUUGUUGGAGCUGGUAUAUAGAGGAAAAUGGAAAGCAGAAAAUGGGACUUUCAAAACUAGCUAUUUACAACAAUUAGAAAAAUGGAUAUGUGAGAAAAUUCCUCACUGUGGAUUGAAAGCACAACCCCACAUUAAUUCUCGUAUCAAGAUACUACUGAAACAAUUUCAUGCAAUUUUUGAAAUGUUGGGACCUUUAGCAAGUGGUUUUGGUUAAUUCUUUCUCUAUGUUUUUAACUAUUACAGAGCCAUCCAAAUGCAAAGGGCUUAAGGAAUACAACAUUUCCUCGUUAUGAAGAAUUGGUUACUGUAUUUGGGAAGGAUUGUGCAAAUGGGCAAGGAGCUAUGGGAUUUUCUGAAACUGUUGACGAGAUUGAUAAAGAGGUACACAAUGAUGCAAAUUCUGAGUUUGAUCAUUUAUCUCCAAUAGAUGAUCUUAUUGGUAAUGCAACCAAAAGUCACACAAGCACGAUGACAACUUCAGCACAGUCAAGUAAGAAAAGUAGAAAGAGAUCUAGGAAUGAGGAUCCAUUGGUUGAUGUAUUUGUUGGGGUUUUAUGCCCUAAUUAAAACCCAAUUUCUUUGUAAUCUCAUUUAUUAUCAAUAAAAGAAUAUAAAUUAUUUUU
This is a long non-coding RNA of Humulus lupulus (European hop), 1439 nucleotides long. RefSeq lists it as uncharacterized. Lineage: Eukaryota; Viridiplantae; Streptophyta; Magnoliopsida; Rosales; Cannabaceae. The transcript has 2 exons. The record is from RefSeq and is a predicted model, not a curated record.